Molecule: ribosomal RNA, 384 nt
Filed under: uncultured bacterium
Lineage: Bacteria
Description: bacterial SSU rRNA
Rfam family: Bacterial small subunit ribosomal RNA
Source: RNAcentral
UUGAACGCUGGCGGCAUGCCUUACACAUGCAAGUCGAACGGCAGCACGGGAGUAAUCCUGGUGGCGAGUGGCGAACGGGUGAGUAAUAUAUUGGAACGUGCCCAGUAAUGGGGGAUAGCCCGGCGAAAGCCGGAUUAAUACCGCAUACGACCUACGGGUGAAAGCGGGGGAUCGCAAGACCUCGCGUUAUUGGAGCGGCCGAUAUCAGAUUAGCUUGUUGGCGGGGUAAAAGCCCACCAAGGCGACGAUCUGUAGCUGGUCUGAGAGGACGACCAGCCACACUGGGACUGAGACACGGCCCAGACUCCUACGGGAGGCAGCAGUGGGGAAUUUUGGACAAUGGGCGCAAGCCUGAUCCAGCCAUGCCGCGUGUGGGAAGAAGGC